Molecule: non-coding RNA, 115 nt
Filed under: Dietzia aerolata
Lineage: Bacteria; Bacillati; Actinomycetota; Actinomycetes; Mycobacteriales; Dietziaceae
Description: S-adenosyl methionine (SAM) riboswitch
Rfam family: SAM (S-adenosyl methionine) riboswitch aptamer
About the family: SAM-IV is a mRNA element that regulates gene expression via direct sensing of S-adenosylmethionine (SAM or AdoMet). SAM-IV riboswitches share conserved nucleotide positions with the previously described SAM-I riboswitches sequence analysis and molecular recognition experiments suggest that SAM-I and SAM-IV riboswitches share similar ligand binding sites, but have different scaffolds.
Source: RNAcentral
GGUCAUGAGUUCCAGCAACAAGCCCCGGCUAGCUGGACGGCAACCCUCCACCGCGGUGGGGUGCCCCGGGAGACGACCUGGCCCUCACCGCAUCCGGUGGCAGGCAAGCGCGGGU